RNAcentral lists this long non-coding RNA (1001 nucleotides) under Cricetulus griseus (Chinese hamster). RNAcentral describes it as "lncRNA (ENSCGRG00015041909.1)". The record is from RNAcentral. Lineage: Eukaryota; Metazoa; Chordata; Mammalia; Rodentia; Cricetidae.
AGGGGACACUGUCGCACCGCUGAGGGCUCAGGAUCCACCGGCAGAGUCGAACUGCAAGAACUGAGCUUGUCCAACAUCCUCCGGGAUUUUAUUUUAUUUUUCUAUCUUCCUUCCCUUCUAUAAAUGAUCCUGGAAUUUUACCUGCCCUCAUGAAAUGAGCCGCCCUCAGCAGCUUCUUCCAUCCUGCCGUCCUACGCCAGAGAAGAAAAGACCCAGCACCAGGAAAUAAAGAGUGCCCAAAUCUUCACCCCUGGUCUUUUAUCAUCUCACUGUCUCUGCUGCUCCCAGGAACUCUGGAUGCUGCCUCACCACUGCUGUUGCUGUCAUGGUUAAUCUGCUGUAUCUUCUUCAUGUUACCAGCUCAGCCUACACAUGAUAAAGGUCAGAUCCAAUUUCUUCCUGUGACAACCAUCUUACAAAUGUCUCCCAAUGGAUCUCCUCAUAGUCACAUCUUUGAGUUCCGUCUGCAGGAAAUGUUUGCAUCCCUACAAAAGGUGAAAAUAAUGGCUCAACAGGCAUGGCGGUUUGAAUGAGAAAUGCCUUACAUAGCCUCACAUAUGUGACUGCUUGGUCCCAGGCUGGUGACACUGUUUGGGGAAGCUAUGUAAUCUUUAGGAAGUGAUGCCUUAAUGGAGGAAGUACACCAGUGAGGGCAGGCUUUGAGAGUUCAUUGCCUGACCCCACUUCCAGUUUGCUGUCUCUGCUUUGUGUUUGUGUCUGAAGACGCAAUUUCUCAGCAGCCUGCUCCGGUGGCCUGCUGCCAUGACACCCCACCACUUAUGGACUCUCUCUCUGGGACUGUAAGCCCAAAUAAACUAUUCCAUAAAUCAAUUUUGGUCAGUUUAUCAGAGCAACAGGAAUGUACUUAAUACCAUGGGUAAAGGCACUUGCUGCCAAGUCUGAACACCUGAGUUGGAUCCCCAGGACCCAAUAGGAGAAGGAGAGAAGCAUUCCUGUGAGUGUUCUGACUUCCAGACUCAUACUGAGGCACAAGCAGUCCC